This 107-nucleotide small RNA is filed under the name Marmota monax (woodchuck). The record is from RNAcentral. Lineage: Eukaryota; Metazoa; Chordata; Mammalia; Rodentia; Sciuridae.
GCUAGGUGUAGUGUCGCACACUUGUAAUCCCAUCUACUUGGGAGGCUGAGGCAGGAGGAUUACAAGUUCGAGGCCAACCUAGGCAAUUUAGCAAGACCCUUUCUCAA